RNAcentral lists this ribosomal RNA (395 nucleotides) under uncultured bacterium. Its description in RNAcentral is "bacterial SSU rRNA". It matches the Rfam family "Bacterial small subunit ribosomal RNA", at positions 505 to 898 of the family's 1533-position model. The record is from RNAcentral.
GUGUCAGCAGCCGCGGUAAGACGUACCACCCAAACGUUAUUCGGAAUCACUGGGCUUACAGAGUCCGUAGGCGGCUCGGAAAGUUGGGCGUGAAAUACCUCAGCUCAACUGAGGAAUUGCGCUCAAAACUACCGAGCUGGAGAGAGACAGAGGUGAGCGGAACUGAUGGUGGAGCGGUGAAAUGCGUUGAUAUCAUCAGGAACACCGGUGGCGAAGGCGGCUCACUGGGUCUUUUCUGACGCUGAGGGACGAAAGCUAGGGUAGCGAACGGGAUUAGAUACCCCGGUAGUCCUAGCCUUAAACGAUGAGCACUAGAUCGAGGGGACCCUCACAUCCUCUUGGUCGUAGGGAAACUGUUAAGUGCUCCGCCUGGGGAGUAUGGUCGCAAGGCUGAA